UACAGAGGGGGCAAGCGUUGUUCGGAAUUACUGGGCGUAAAGGGCGCGUAGGUGGCCUUCUAAGUCGAACGUGAAAUCCCUGGGCUCAACCCAGGAACUGCGUCCGAUACUGGAAGGCUUGAAUCCGGGAGAGGGAUGCGGAAUUCCAGGUGUAGCGGUGAAAUGCGUAGAUAUCUGGAGGAACACCGGUGGCGAAGGCGGCAUCCUGGACCAUUACUGACACUGAAAAGCGAAAGCCAGGGGAGCAAACGGG
RNAcentral lists this ribosomal RNA (253 nucleotides) under uncultured bacterium. RNAcentral describes it as "partial 16S ribosomal RNA". It matches the Rfam family "Bacterial small subunit ribosomal RNA", at positions 524 to 776 of the family's 1533-position model. The record is from RNAcentral.